This 483-nucleotide ribosomal RNA is filed under the name uncultured bacterium. RNAcentral's name for it is "partial 16S ribosomal RNA". It matches the Rfam family "Bacterial small subunit ribosomal RNA", at positions 30 to 506 of the family's 1533-position model. The record is from RNAcentral.
AUUGAACGCUGGCGGCAGGCCUAACACAUGCAAGUCGAGCGGAUGAAGGGAGCUUGCUCCUGGAUUCAGCGGCGGACGGGUGAGUAAUGCCUAGGAAUCUGCCUGGUAGUGGGGGAUAACGUCCGGAAACGGGCGCUAAUACCGCAUACGUCCUGAGGGAGAAAGUGGGGGAUCUUCGGACCUCACGCUAUCAGAUGAGCCUAGGUCGGAUUAGCUAGUUGGUGGGGUAAAGGCCUACCAAGGCGACGAUCCGUAACUGGUCUGAGAGGAUGAUCAGUCACACUGGAACUGAGACACGGUCCAGACUCCUACGGGAGGCAGCAGUGGGGAAUAUUGGACAAUGGGCGAAAGCCUGAUCCAGCCAUGCCGCGUGUGUGAAGAAGGUCUUCGGAUUGUAAAGCACUUUAAGUUGGGAGGUAGGGCAGUAAGUUAAUACCUUGCUGUUUUGACGUUACCAACAGAAUAAGCACCGGCUAACUUCGU